RNAcentral lists this ribosomal RNA (429 nucleotides) under Chloroflexota bacterium. RNAcentral's name for it is "Chloroflexi bacterium partial 16S ribosomal RNA". It matches the Rfam family "Bacterial small subunit ribosomal RNA", at positions 355 to 776 of the family's 1533-position model. Lineage: Bacteria; Bacillati; Chloroflexota. The record is from RNAcentral.
UGGGGAAUAUUGCACAAUGGGCGCAAGCCUGAUGCAGCCAUGCCGCGUGUAUGAAGAAGGCCUUCGGGUUGUAAAGUACUUUCAGCGGGGAGGAAGGGAGUAAAGUUAAUACCUUUGCUCAUUUACGUUACCCGCAGAAGAAGCACCGGCUAACUCCGUGCCAGCAGCCGCGGUAAUACGGAGGGUGCAAGCGUUAAUCGGAAUUACUGGGCGUAAAGCGCACGCAGGCGGUUUGUUAAGUCAGAUGUGAAAUCCCCGGGCUCAACCUGGGAACUGCAUCUGAUACUGGAAAGCUUGAGUCUCGUAGAGGGGGGUAGAAUUCCAGGUGUAGCGGUGAAAUGCGUAGAGAUCUGGAGGAAUACCGGUGGCGAAGGCGGCCCCCUGGACAAAGACUGACGCUCAGGUGCGAAAGCGUGGGGAGCAAACAGG